This is a non-coding RNA of Phascolarctos cinereus (koala), 535 nucleotides long. NCBI's taxonomy places the organism in Eukaryota, Metazoa, Chordata, Mammalia, Diprotodontia, Phascolarctidae. The record is from RefSeq and is a predicted model, not a curated record.
GCCUAUGCAACGGUGUGGAGCUGGAAGCUGACUGGAGUGUCAUGUGGGAGAAACAGCCAGAAGGUUCCUUUGGAUGAUAUCAUCGGAACAGCCGAAAGUCGUGCAAGAGAAGACCACUGAGACAAGUUAAGGAGCAGAAUACAGAAAUACAGAAUGUUAAUAUAGAUUGUAUUGGGAAAACAAGAGAACUUUUCCAGAGAGAAUGAAAUGCUUUAAAGGAAGCCAAGAAAACCACCAAAAAACUGCUUAAAACCAUGUUUAUGACAUAAAAAGACUGCUUACCUAGCUGAGGGUAAAAGGUCUCAUUUCAUAAGACAAAAGUUCAUGUCACCUGACGGUAAUGAUGUGGUCAAAAUAAUAUUUGGCAAAUCAUAUGCAAAGCAGCAUUGAAUGCUUCCACUUGAAGUUAAUAUGCUGUGAACAAAAUAUUAAUUUAUACCAGUGGUUAAAAAAAGAAUCUUGAGUAACAAUAUCAUCAAUGGCACAUUUUGAGAAACAACACCAAAAAACCAAACCAAAACAGAACAGAACAAGC